This 2188-nucleotide ribosomal RNA is filed under the name Amborella trichopoda. RNAcentral's name for it is "18S ribosomal RNA". The stretch from base 410 to 2188 matches the Rfam family "Eukaryotic small subunit ribosomal RNA". The record is from RNAcentral. Lineage: Eukaryota; Viridiplantae; Streptophyta; Magnoliopsida; Amborellales; Amborellaceae.
UCCAGUCUUAGAAAAAAAAAAGGAAAUGCCUUUUCCAAAACAAAAGCCAUGUCUAGGGAGCAAUGGGAAGUUGGAAUAAACCCCUCCUAAUUUGGCAGGCAAAACGAAAAUGCCCAUUGCUUAAAGAACUUUUCUACCCUCACAACAGAGCACAGUGAGGCAAGGAUGGAGAACCAUUGCACCAGGCUUCUGCCCCAAAUCUCUAUGAUAGAGGAUAGGAAGGGGCGAAGGGCACAUCUUCUUUCAUUUCUAUGACAAGAAGGAUGGCUGGUCUGUAGUGACAAACGAAAUUACCAAGGAAAAUCUUUUUUUGGGUCUUCACAAACUCCUCACAUUCCAGCAUAUUAUCUUUGGAGUCUGGUUAUGUUGGUGAGUCGAGGACUGCCGAAAUCCUGGUCUAGGCAGCACAAAUUCAUCAUAAUUUAUCGUAAACGCUAGGUUUUUCAGCUUUCAGGAACCCCUUCCCUUGAUGGCGUUGCAUCGGAAAACAUCAGUGACUUCCCCGCGCAGUCCAUUGUGUAUGUACUACUCGGAUAACCAUAGUAAUUCUAGAGCUAAUACGUGCAAGAAAUCCCGACCUCUGGAAGGAAUGCAUUUAUUAGAUAAAAGGCCAGUGCGGGCUUUGCCCGAUGCUUUGGUAAAUCAUGAUAACUCGACGGAUCGCAUGGCCAUUGUGGUGGCGACGCAUCAUUCAAAUUUCUGCCCAAUCAACUUUCGAUGGUAGGAUAGAGGCCUACCAUGGUGGUGACGGGUGACGGAUGACGGAGAAUUAGGGUUCGAUUCCGGAGAGGGAGCCUGAGAAAUGACUACCACAUCCAAGGAAGGCAGCAGGUGCGCAAAUUACCCAAUUCUGACACAGGGAGGUAGUGACAAUAAAUAACAAUACCGAGCUCCAAGAGUCUGGUAAUUGGAAUGAGUACAAUCUAAACCCCUUAACGAGGAUCCAUUGGACAGCAAGUCUGGUGCCAGCAGCCGCGGUAAUUCCAGCUCCAAUAGCGUAUAUUUAAGUUGUUGCAGUUAAAAAGCUCAUAGUUGGAUCUUGGGCUGAGAUCAACCGGUCCGCCUUCAUGGUGUGCACCGGCCGUCCCGUUCCUUCACCCGACGAUGCGUUCCUGGCCUUAACUAACCGGGUCGUGCCUCCGGCACAGUUACUUUGAAGAAAUUAGAGUGCUCAAAGCAAGCCUACGCUCUGAAUACAUUAGCCAGGGAUAACAUCACAGAUUUCGGUCCUAUUGUGUUGGCCUUCGGGAUCGGAGUAAUGAUUAAGAGGGACAGUCGGGGGCAUGGGCAUUCGUAUUUCAUAAUCAGAGGUGAAAUUCUUGGAUUUAUGAAAGACGAACCACUGCGAAAGCAUUUGCCAAGGAUGUUUCAUUAAUCAAGAACGAAAGUUGGGGGCUCGAAGACGAUCAGAUACCGUCCUAGUCUCAACCAUAAACGAUGCCGACAGGGAUCAGCGGAUGUUGCUCUUAGGACUCCGUCGACACCUUAUGAGAAAUCAAAGUCUUUGGGUUCCGAGGGGAGUAUGGUUGCAAGGCUGAAACUUCAAGGAAUUGACGGAAGGGCACCACCAGGAGUGGAGCCUGCAGCUUAAUUUGACUAAACAGGGGGAAACUUACCAGGUUCAUACAUAGUAAGGAUUGACAGACUGAGAGCCCUUUCUUGAGUCUAUGGGAGGUGGUGCAUGGCCAUUCUUAGUUGGUGGAGCGAUUUGUCUGGUUAAUUCCGUUAACGAACGAGACCUCAGCCUGCUAACUAGCUACGUGGAGGUAUCCUCGACGGCCAGCUUCUUAGAGGGGCUAUGGCCGUUUAGGCCAUGGAAGUUUGAGGCAAUAACAGGUCUGUGAAAUUUCUGGGCCGCACACGUGCUACACUGAUGUAUUCAACGAGUAUAUGGCCUUGGCCGACAGGCCUUGAUAAUCUGUCGAAAUUUCAUCGUGAUGGGGAUAGAUCAUUGCAAUUGUUGGUCUUCAACGAGGAAUUCCUAGUAAGCGCGAGUCAUCAGCUCGCGUUGACUACAUCCCUGCCCUGUCGCUCCUACGAAUUGAAUGGUCCGGUGAAGUGUUCGGAUCGCGGCGAUAGAGGCGGUCCGCCGCUGGCGACAUCGCGAGAAGUCCAUUGAACCUUAUCAUUUAGAGGAAGGAGAAGUCGUAACAAGGUUUUCGUAAGUGAACCUGCGAAAGGAUCAUUG